Molecule: non-coding RNA, 113 nt
Organism: Candidatus Gottesmanbacteria bacterium
Lineage: Bacteria; Candidatus Gottesmaniibacteriota
Source: Rfam
UUGAUAUAAAGAAUAGAUCCAAAGACAGUAGGUGGUCCGAGAGGAUGUAAAGCCUACCGAGGAAGUUAGUAACUUGUAAUCCUCGCUUUGGUCGAGGAUUUUUUUUGGCCAAA